This 439-nucleotide ribosomal RNA is filed under the name uncultured bacterium. RNAcentral's name for it is "partial 16S ribosomal RNA". It matches the Rfam family "Bacterial small subunit ribosomal RNA", at positions 339 to 795 of the family's 1533-position model. The record is from RNAcentral.
CUACGGGAGGCUGCAGUGGGGAAUCUUGCGCAAUGGGGGAAACCCUGACGCAGCGACGCCGCGUGGAGGAUGAAGGUCUUCGGGUUGUAAACUCCUUUUGUAGGGGAAAAUAAUGAUGGUACCCUACGAAUAAGCCACGGCUAACUCUGUGCCAGCAGCCGCGGUAAGACAGAGGUGGCGAGCGUUGUUCGGAAUUACUGGGCUUAAAGGGCGAGUAGGCGGUAGAGCAAGUCCAAGGUGGAAUCCUAUGGCUCAACCAUAGAAUUGCCUUGGAAACUGUUUUACUUGAGUCAGUGAGGGGAGGGCAGAAUUCCUGGUGUAGCGGUGAAAUGCGUAGAUAUCAGGAGGAAGGCCUGUGGCGAAGGCGGCCCUCUGGCACUGGACUGACGCUGAGGCGCGAAAGCGUGGGGAGCAAACAGGAUUAGAUACCCUCGUAGUC